CCUGAGAAACCCAAAAGAUCGAAUGGGGAGAUUCAUCGUCAGCGAUCUCGGCACGUGCGCGGUUCGCGAUGUCGAGAGGUCUCGGCCUCUCGGCACGCGUCCGUGUGUUUCAUUGCCGGGUGUCGUCGGCGUGCACUUCUCCCCUAGUAGGACGUCGCGACCCGUUGGGUGUCGGUCUACGGCCCGGGUGGGAGCCUGUCACGCGUAACGCCUCGCGGCGUCGCGUGGCCAGACCCCCGGUUGCCCGACCAGCUGCCCGGCGGUACUCGCACGGUAUCGAGCCGCAAAUAUUCGAAUUGCGUCCGGCCCGCCGCAAGCUGUGCCAGUGUUAUAACCCGGAUGUACGGACCUAGCGCCGUCACCGGGCCUGGCCGGCUGUUGGCCGGCGGUGUCCUGGGACCGGCUCUAAAUUUUACCGGUCAGCGACGCUACUGCUUUGGGUACUUUCAGGACCCGUCUUGAAACACGGACCAAGGAGUCUAACAUGUGCGCGAGUCAUUGGGAGCUAAAAGCCUAAAGGCGCAAUGAAAGUGAAGGUCGGCAUCGCGCCGACAGAGGGAGGAUGGACCGCGUUACGAUGCGGUCCCGCACUCCCGGGGCGUCUCGUUCUCAUUGCGAGAAGAGGCGCACCCAGAGCGUACACGUUGGGACCCGAAAGAUGG
This 662-nucleotide ribosomal RNA is filed under the name Corsoncus magus. RNAcentral's name for it is "eukaryotic LSU rRNA". It matches the Rfam family "Eukaryotic large subunit ribosomal RNA", at positions 420 to 826 of the family's 3401-position model. Lineage: Eukaryota; Metazoa; Arthropoda; Insecta; Hymenoptera; Ichneumonidae. The record is from RNAcentral.